Molecule: long non-coding RNA, 352 nt
Filed under: Mytilus galloprovincialis (Mediterranean mussel)
Lineage: Eukaryota; Metazoa; Mollusca; Bivalvia; Mytilida; Mytilidae
Source: RNAcentral
AUUUUAAUAUAAUAAUUCUAUGAAUUCACAAUAUAAAAAAAUGCAGAAAAAAAAAAAAUGAAUGAAGUGAAAUAUCUUAGUAAGGAGUCAUUACUACAGAGAUGGUGUGUUUGACACACAAAACUUAAAAGCUUAGUGAUAUUACCAAUAUUAAAAUAAAAGUGUAUUUUAGUUGGGUAUUUUUUCCAUUUACUCAUUUUCAAUUAUAAUCAAGGCACAUUUUAUUUUUAUUCAUGAAAAAUAUUUAUAUAUAGAAAAGAAGGACACAUUGUUCACUUCCUCCCCCGUAAUUCUUUAUCAAAAAUAUUUAUUUUGAAAUGAAAAAAGCUAAGAAAUCUUAAUUUUAUUAGUG